This 1740-nucleotide long non-coding RNA is filed under the name Helianthus annuus (common sunflower). RNAcentral's name for it is "hypothetical non coding rna". Lineage: Eukaryota; Viridiplantae; Streptophyta; Magnoliopsida; Asterales; Asteraceae. The record is from RNAcentral.
UAAGGAAGUGCCAGGCAAACGUAAUUUUGAGCUGAGGGCAGAAGCGUAAUUUUGAGCUAGAGGAAAAAACAACAUUGUAUUUUGAACUGGGGGCAAAAACGUAAUUUUAAACGGAGGGCGAAACCGUAAUUUUAAACUGAGAACAAAAUUAGAAAUGAGUUUUUGAACCGGGGGCAAAAGCGUAAUUUUGAGAUAGGGGCAAAAUUAUAAAUUUAUUUUGAGCUGCGGGCAAAAAUGUAAUUUUAAACGAAGGACGAAAGCGUAAUUUUAAACUGGAAAUAAAGUUAAAUAAAAAAUAGAUUGGUCCAAUAGGUAAGUGCCAGGCAAGCUGCCUAACACUAUUCCCCGAGCUUGUAAAUGUAUAUGGAGGUAACUAGUAAUAGUAACAAGACCCGUGCGUGUUAUGAUUAGUUUAAACAUUAUGUGAUGCGUUAACUAUUUGAGAACGCGUAUUUCAGACGUAUCAUAUUGAGCUCAGUGUAACCUAUAUAAGCAUUGUGAUUGGAUUAAAACGUAAAGUAAAUCGAAUUUAUACCGUACAAUCAUAACGUAUUAAAUGCGACCCGACUAACUCGAAUUUAUACCGUCAAGUCAAAACGUAUUAUAUACGACCCAAUUCAUACAUAUGAAAUAUUCAAAACAAAGCACGAAAGCGUACAGCAAAAUAACGCGCCAAAACGUAUAGACAAACUCGAAUUUAUUCGAAAAAAGCAUACCAAAUAUAUGUCGAAAUCUAGACAAACUCAAAUAUUGUACCGACUACGCGGCAUGAUUAUGUAUAGACUAACUCGAAUUAAUCGGCGAAUCAAAUAUUUGACGAAACGUAGACCAACUCAAAUUUAUACCAAUACGUACUUAUAAAUAAUCACACAACAGUUUAACCUUUUUAGGUUAACGAACGAAGAUUCAUGUGGCUGUCAAGCAGGUUUGUAGAUGCGGUUUACAGGCAAUUAUUUUUAGAGUGAAGUACAUGAUCCCUGUGGUUUACAAAAAAAAAAAAAAAAAACUUUGGAUUUGAUGCAUAGCUUUCCAAAAUGACACGGAUGGUCUCUGUGGUUUACAAAAACUUUGGAUUUGGUCCCUAGCUCCAAAAGUAUAUAGAUGGUCCUGAUGGUUUGCACAUUGUAACACAUUUAGUCCCCAACUUUGCCAAAAGUCACACAAAUUGUCCAUGUGGUUUGCACUUGGUAACACGUUUAGUCCCUAACUUCGACAUGUUGAAACCUUUAGCCGGGGACUAAAUACAUUACAAAACGCAAACCACAUAGACCAUCCGUACUUGUACUUUCGAAAAGUUAAGGACCAAAUUCAAAAUUUUGGUAAACCAAAUGAAAGUGAAACAGAGUUUAAUCAGGUGUGUGAACGACAUGAUUUCAGUACUAAGAAAGUGAAAUAGAGGUUGGGGAAUCGUACCUAUGAUCGAUUCAUUCUCCAUUUGCACAUCGAACUUCAUUGAUCUGAUGGUGGUGUGUGUAAACGCAAUGAGAGGAAGAAGAUGAGUGUGUGAGUAAUUUGAGGGUGUUAGAAUAUGAAGGGGAGAAGAUAAAGGUGCUCCUAAGGUGUGGUCCAUAAGAUUUAUCGGUGAAAUGACUUCCAUACCCCUAAAAGUAACAAUCAACCUUACGGUUGACUAACAGUUUGUGGCAGAGUGUGAUGGAUUACCCAUCUCAGGGUUCUGGCAAAAAGUGGAAGAUAGGGUUUUAUCAGACAAUCCGAACCAAAACACAGGUUACUACUUAG